Vollenhovia emeryi is the source of this 524-nucleotide long non-coding RNA. RefSeq lists it as uncharacterized. The record is from RefSeq and is a predicted model, not a curated record. The transcript has 2 exons. Lineage: Eukaryota; Metazoa; Arthropoda; Insecta; Hymenoptera; Formicidae.
UUCUGUAGUAAUAAUUUCUCUAUAUAAAAAUUUUAGGUGACAAGACUUUACCAAAAGGCGCGAAUAUUAUAGUUGAAAUUUUUCAUAUACAUCGAAAUGACAAAUACUGGCCGAAUCCCUUAAAAUUUGAUCCUGAAAGAUUUCUUCGAGGGGAAACUAAACAUUCUGAAUAUUAUAUUCCUUUUAGUAAUGGUCCAAGGAAUUGCAUUGGAAUGAAAUAUGCAAUGAUAAGUACCAAAGUUAUUUUGGCAACGUUAAUAAGAACAUUCAAGUUUAAAGUUAAUAAAAAAAUUGAAAUAGGGGAUAUAAAAUUAAAAUUUGACUUCGUAUUAUCUACACAGGAACCUUUGAAAGUCCAAAUUGAAAAACGAAUAAUAAAGUAAUAUAAAAGUAUAAUAAAUGUACGAAAUGAUUUAUUUGCACAUGGCGGUGGUGAGUUUCAAUUUAAUAUUUUUUGUAAUAUAUCAAAUGUAAUAAUUCUAUAUGUAUAUAAAAUAUAUUGAAGUCCCAAACAGCACACAAUA